UUAGUAAAUUUUUUUAUUAGAAAAUUAUACAAAUUACUUAAAUUUAGAUUUAGAUUGUAAGAUGUCAAUUAUGUUUAGAUGUUUUUAUUUUAUAAACAAGCUAGUAAUAAAAAUCUAUCAACACAAACGCCAAUAAUUUCAAUGGAUUUUCAAUCGUUGAAAAUGAAUUUAGAAAUAUCUUGUCAAUACAUGUCACUUUUGUUUAUCAUCUAGCACACAUAAACUUUCUAGUAUGUAGACUAGAGUCUCACAAUCACACAAUCAGUUCAUAGGAAUGACAAUGACAGUCAUUCACCAAUGGGAUCAAAUUUGGUGACACUGGAUUUGUGACAUUAUUCAGCAGAUAUCUAAUUUGAAAGAAAAACAGAGGUAAAUUAAAAUAUCAACUGAAUUCAAUGCAAUACAGGAUAAAUACCAAGAAUAGUU
Molecule: long non-coding RNA, 426 nt
Filed under: Phaseolus vulgaris (common bean)
Lineage: Eukaryota; Viridiplantae; Streptophyta; Magnoliopsida; Fabales; Fabaceae
Description: long non-coding RNA (PVUL_LNC005142)
Source: RNAcentral